Molecule: ribosomal RNA, 253 nt
Filed under: uncultured bacterium
Lineage: Bacteria
Description: partial 16S ribosomal RNA
Rfam family: Bacterial small subunit ribosomal RNA
Source: RNAcentral
UACAGAGGGGGCUAGCGUUGUUCGGAAUUACUGGGCGUAAAGGGCUCGUAGGUGGCCAACUAAGUCAGACGUGAAAUCCCUCGGCUUAACCGGGGAACUGCGUCUGAUACUGGAUGGCUUGAAUCCGGGAGAGGGAUGCAGAAUUCCAGGUGUAGCGGUGAAAUGCGUAGAUAUCUGGAGGAAUACCGGUGGCGAAGGCGGCAUCCUGGACCGGCAUUGACGCUGAGGAGCGAAAGCCAGGGGAGCAAACGGG